RNAcentral lists this ribosomal RNA (2134 nucleotides) under metagenome. Its description in RNAcentral is "bacterial LSU rRNA". It matches the Rfam family "Bacterial large subunit ribosomal RNA", at positions 1 to 1999 of the family's 2925-position model. The record is from RNAcentral.
UGUUGCCUGCAAGGGCGUAUGGUGGAUGCCUUGGCAGACAGGACCGAUGAAGGACGUUUGAGGCUGCGAUAUGCCUCGGGGAGCCGCCAACAGGGCUUUGAUCCGAGGAUUUCCGAAUGGGGGAACCCACCGGCCGUCAUGGGCCGGUACCGCCGUGUGCGGGGGGUACGCAGGGAAGUGAAACAUCUCAGUACCUGCAGGAAAGGAUAUUCCGUGAGUAGUGGCGAGCGAAAGCGGAUCAGGCCAAACCUUGCGCGUGUGAUACCCGUCGGGGGUUGCGCGCGGGGUGUAGAGGGAUCGCGUUUGCCGGCUCCGACGGGCCGGCCGUCAGUUGCAUAAAACCAUGUGCCAGGGGAACCGGGUUGAAUACCGGGCCGCAGAGGGUGAGGGCCCCGUACCCGAACGCGCAUGGUCUGGCGAUCGCGUCUCCCAAGUAGCACGGGCCCCGUGGAAUCCCGUGCGAAUCAGUCCCGACCGUGGGAUAAGCCUAAAUAUUCCUGUCUGACCGAUAGCGAACGAGUACCGUGAGGGAAAGGUGAAAAGUACCCCGGGAGGGGAGUGAAACAGUCUCUGAAACCAUGCGCCUACGAACCGUCGGGGCCCCCUUGUGGGGUGACGGCGUGCCUAUCGAAAAAUGAGUCUGCGAGUCAGUGGCAUGUGGCGAGCAUAAGCCGUGUGGCGUAUGCGUAGCGAAGGCGAGUCUUAAAAGGCGUUUGAGUCGCGUGUCCUGGACCCGAAGCGGGAUGAUCUAGCCCUGAGCAGGUUGAAGCGCGGGUAAGACCGUGUGGAGGACCGAACCCACCUGGGUUGAAAACCGGGGGGAUGACUUGGGGCUAGGGGUGAAAGGCCAAUCAAAUUCCGUGAUAGCUGGUUCUCUCCGAAAUGCAUUUAGGUGCAGCGUCGGAUCGAUUACAUCCGGGGGGUAGAGCGACUGGAUGCUUGCGGGCCCAUAUCGGGUACCAACAGCAACCAAACUCCGAAUACCCGUGAUGCGUAUCCCGGCAGUGAGUCGGCGGGGGAUAAGCUCCGUCGUCGAAAGGGAAACAGCCCAGAUCGUCGUCUAAGGUCCCCAAGCGUGUGCUAAGUGGGAAAGGAUGUGGAGUCGCAUAGACAGCCAGGAGGUUGGCUCAGAAGCAGCCACCCUUGAAAGAGUGCGUAACAGCUCACUGGUCUAGUGGUUCCGCGCCGACAAUGUAGCGGGGCUCAAGCACACCACCGAAGACGCGGCAGUAGCUUUGCUACUGGGUAGGAGAGCGUCCCAUGCGGGGCGAAGCGGCGGCGCAAGCCCGCCGUGGACCGCAUGGGAGUGAGAAUGCAGACAUGAGUAGCGAAAGACGGGUGAAGAUCCCGUCCGCUGGACGACCAAGGGUUCCAGGGCCACGUUCAUCGUCCCUGGGUGAGUCGGGUCCUAAGGCGAGGCCGACAGGCGUAGUCGAAUGGAUGAACGGGUCGAUAUUCCCGUACCGGCAUGCAACCGACAAAACCGAAUCCGCGAGUACUAACCUCCGGGUCCGGGCUUACGUCUCCUUCGGGAGCCGGAUGCCCUGGCCUGUUGGGACCGUAACGGUAGUAGGUCAGCGCGGGAGUGACGCAGAAGGGUAGCCGGCCGCGGAGGUGGUCUUCCGUGGUCAAGCACGCAGCCCGUCCCACAGGCAAAUCCGUGGGGCGCGUGGGCGAGGUGCGAUGAUGGGCGCCGCAGGGCGCGAUAUCCGGUGAUCCCGGCUGCCGAGAAAAGCUUCGGCGUGAGGCGGCGUGCCGCCCGUACCCCAAACCGACACUGGUGGUCAGGUAGAGAAUACCAAAGCGAUCGAGCGAAUCCUGGUCAAGGAACUCGGCAAAUCACUCCCGUUCCUUCGGUUUAAGGGAGACCCCCGAUGGUGAAGCGGCUUGCCCGUGGAGCUUUUGGGGGUGGCACAGACCAGGGGGUAGCGACUGUUUACCAAAAACACAGGAGCGUGCGAAGGCGCAAGCCGCUGUAUACGCUCUGACGCCUGCCCGGUGCCGGAAGGUUAAGAGGAUCCGUCAGGCCUCGGCCGAAGCGGUGAAUUCAAGCCCCGGUAAACGGCGGUGGUAACUAUAACCAUCCUAAGGUAGCGAAAUUCCUUGUCGGGUAAGUUCCGACCUGCACGAAUGG